AAAAAGGAGCGAGGAGUGAAAACCAUUGUUGGAUACACUUGGUUUUAACCUCGACAGCGCCACCUUUCGGCAAAGCUGUUCCCGGUUGCUAGUUGAAGCCUCUUUCCCUUUGAAGACACAUCCUUUAUAAUUUUUAUUAGAGGUAAUUUAUUAUUUGCAU
This 160-nucleotide long non-coding RNA is filed under the name Vombatus ursinus (common wombat). Its description in RNAcentral is "lncRNA (ENSVURG00010002809.1)". The record is from RNAcentral. Lineage: Eukaryota; Metazoa; Chordata; Mammalia; Diprotodontia; Vombatidae.